AUAACGAGCGCAACCCCUACCGUUAGUUGCCAGCGGGUCAAGCCCGGGAACUCUAACGGAACUGCCAGCGUAAGCUGUGAGGAAGGCGGGGAUGACGUCAAAUCAGCACGGCCCUUACGUCCAGGGCUACACACGUGUUACAAUGGCCGGUACAGAGGGCAGCCACCCCGCGAGGGGGCGCGAAUCCCGAAAGCCGGUCGCAGUUCGGAUCGGAGUCUGGAACCCGACUCCGUGAAGCUGGAUUCGCUAGUAAUCGCGCAUCAGCCAUGGCGCGGUGAAUACGUUCCCGGGCCUU
This 295-nucleotide ribosomal RNA is filed under the name uncultured Rikenellaceae bacterium. RNAcentral's name for it is "partial 16S ribosomal RNA". It matches the Rfam family "Bacterial small subunit ribosomal RNA", at positions 1089 to 1382 of the family's 1533-position model. The record is from RNAcentral. Lineage: Bacteria; Pseudomonadati; Bacteroidota; Bacteroidia; Bacteroidales; Rikenellaceae.